This 324-nucleotide ribosomal RNA is filed under the name uncultured eukaryote. RNAcentral describes it as "partial 18S ribosomal RNA". It matches the Rfam family "Eukaryotic small subunit ribosomal RNA", at positions 1470 to 1796 of the family's 1831-position model. The record is from RNAcentral.
CCCUUAGAUGUUCUGGGCCGCACGCGCGCUACACUGAUGCAUUCAACGAGUUUCUUCCUGGUCCGAGAGGAAUGGGUAACCUUUUGAAAGUGCAUCGUGAUAGGGAUAGACUAUUGCAAUUAUUGGUCUUCAACGAGGAAUUCCUAGUAGACGUAGUUCAUCAGACUGCAUCGAUUACGUCCCUGCCCUUUGUACACACCGCCCGUCGCUCCUACCGAUUGAAUGCUCAGGUGAGCCAUUCGGACUUUCAUCAUGCUGGUUUCCAGUUUUGAUGAAGGAAAGUCUUGCGAACCUUAUCAUUUAUAGGAAGGAGAAGUCGUAACA